AUGGGGGGCAGGCCGAUGGAGCCUAGGCAGGACGCGCCUCCGGCGCUGUCUUCGCCAGUUGCGCCCGGCUCCCCUCCCAUGAUGUCCGCUGCCAUGCCCCUGGCGCGCGCUGAGGUCUGCAUCGUGUUGCGCUCGGCGGGGAUGGCAGAUCUGGAGCGCAGGCUGCCGCUUGCGGUGGUGGCGUACGUGGGCGGCGCCAGGCCGCCGGUUUCCUGUGUUGACGCGGCGAUUGCCAUCUCCGAGCAGCUUGAGAUUCCUCGACACCGUUUCUCCAUGCACAAGUUCCAUCCUGAAGAUUUUCUGGUUGUCUUCGCGUCCCAUGACCUCCGCAACAGAGCUUUGGGAGUCCCGUUCAUUGAGCAUCCAAGGUUCAAGCUUUUCACCAAGCCAUGGUUGAGACAGGCACAAGCACAGUCCAAGUUGAUGAGAGUUCAGGUUGAUCUCAUGAUUGAAGGAGUUCCAUCGCACGCCUGGUCUAGAGAGACAGCGUCGGAGUUGUUGGGUUCGUCCUGUCUGAUUGAGAGCCUGGCGCCCGAGACUGCUAACAGAGAGGAUCUGUCGCUCUUCAAGCUCCGUGCAUGGUGUGUGGAUCCGGAUGAUAUUCCGGCGUGUCGUCGUCUUUGGGUGCCGGAGCCUGACGAGAUUUUGGUGAACCCGGCGGCGCGCGUUUCUUCGUUCCGUCAACUGCUGGAGUAUCCCACGCUCAUCCAUAUUGGUCGGCUCCGGGAUCAUUCACCGCCGGAGUUGUGGCGUCGAUCGCCGAGUUCAGAUGGCGGCAGUGGGCAGAGUGGGUUGCCGGAGAGUUCCAAUGGAUCCUUCCAGGGUGAAUGGAGGGUGCUGCCCUGGACGAGGGGUGUCCGUGAUGGUCGCGACGCUGGCCGGCGAUCGCCGAGCCACGUCGGCGGUGGAGGGCAGGUCCGCUCCUACCGGCAGGCUCUAGAAGGCAGUGUGUGUCCCUUGGCCUGGCGCAUUCCGCCAAUGGAGACUGGACAGGCGUCAGCAGUGGAGGUCACGGGGUUGGCCCGCCACAGUCCUCAGGGCGUGCGCGCCCCCCGCGUGGUCGCUAUCCAGAGUGCCGUUGUACCGCGGUCUUGCCAGGUGUUGACAGCUGGCGAGUUGGUCACACCUACUCCACCCGACAAGGCUGUGGAUGGGGCCAAUCCCCAGGAGAUGGAGACCAUCCAGAUGCUAGUCACGCCAGUCUUGGCCGACAAAUCUGCAGAGAAGGACAGCGUCCUAGAGAAAGAUCUGGAUGCGAUUGGACAAGCUGAUCCGCCCUUGGUUACGGCGCCUAUGGUGGAACCGAGUGCAGGGACGCUGCAGCGUGGGGGCCUGGAGAGGCCAAUGGCAUCUGAUCCGCAUGCACAGGAUUUGCCGCUGGCAAUGAUUGCGACGGAUCCGGUGAGGCCAGAGGUGCCUUGUGGCCUGCAUUCGGAGGAGACCACUCAGGCUAGGGUGCCACAGAUAAUCGCAGAGAGGUGCGCGGUGAUUGUGGUUCCGCAGGGGAUCCUGGAGGAGAUGGGGCCGGCCGCUGGCCUGUCCUUGGCUGCGGGUUGGGCGCCAGUGGCUGAACUGCUGGCCCCCACCACUGCGGAGCCGACUGCGAAUAUUCCAGCCUCGGAGACGGUCCUGGGUGGGCCAGGGCUGCAUGGCUCGUCUGAUGUGACUACGUCGCAUGCUGAUUACGUGCGCACGUUGCCGGCGUUUGGGACUCCUUCUCCGAUUCCAGCUGUGGAUCCUUCCGUGGAGCUAGCGCGUCUUUCUUCCAAGGAAGCGCUGGCACUGGGCAACAUCAAAACAUUUUGUGCGGGACUUUUGAAGAAAUUGGCGCCACCGCUCCUCAAAGAAAUCGAAAUGGCCAAUGGAGUUAGACCAGGGCAAGACCCCUUCACACCACAGCGCAACACCCGCUCGCUUAGCUCCACUUCCAGGAGCCCCAAAGCUUCGGCCGCUGAGACAGUCUUCUCAAAGCCCUCGGUAUUGUGCCGGAUGAGCUAG
This 1998-nucleotide ribosomal RNA is filed under the name Triticum aestivum (bread wheat). RNAcentral's name for it is "partial small subunit ribosomal RNA". Lineage: Eukaryota; Viridiplantae; Streptophyta; Magnoliopsida; Poales; Poaceae. The record is from RNAcentral.